Molecule: ribosomal RNA, 454 nt
Filed under: Milonia sp. A MG-2015
Lineage: Eukaryota; Metazoa; Arthropoda; Arachnida; Araneae; Araneidae
Description: partial 16S ribosomal RNA
Rfam family: Bacterial large subunit ribosomal RNA
Source: RNAcentral
CAUUUUUUACUGAAUUUAUUGUAAAUAAUUCCUGCUCAAUGAAAUAUUUAAAUAGCCGCAGAAAUUUAACUGUGCUAAGGUAGCAUAAUCAUUAGCCUUUUAAUUGAAGGCUCGUAUGAAUGGAAUAACAUUUCAUUAAUUUUAUUAUUAUAUUAAUUUUUAAAUUAAAUUAAGAAUAAAAAUGUUCUUAUUAAAAAAUUAGACGACAAGACCCUUUUGAACUUUACUUAUGUUUAGCUGGGGCAGCUAAAAAAUAAUUAUCUUUUAAAUUUAUUUAUUUAAAUAAAAGAUCCAAUAAAAUUGAUUUAUUGAAUAAGUUACCAUAGGGAUAACAGCGUAAUAUUUUUUUAAAGCUCUUAUUAAAAACAAUGAUUACGACCUCGAUGUUGAAUUAAUAUUUCUUUAAAAAUGCAAUAAUUUUUAAAGUUGGUCUGUUCGACCAUCAAAAUAUUAC